RNA transcript from Ictalurus furcatus (blue catfish), 1390 nucleotides. It is a transcript of the gene named tripartite motif-containing protein 29-like, with no coding region annotated. The transcript is spliced from 3 exons. The record is from RefSeq and is a predicted model, not a curated record. Lineage: Eukaryota; Metazoa; Chordata; Actinopteri; Siluriformes; Ictaluridae.
UGCUGUAUUACUACCCCUGUCGGUCCACCAGAACAGUCAUGUGUCGGUCAUGAACGAAUCUUUAAUGUGACUCAGGAACAACGAGAUGUCUCAGAGGGUGAUUCGUUCAUUUCUGACCGCGCAUGCGCAACAACAGCGCCAUAGAUUCUGUAGAGGAAACAGAAAUGAUUAGUUCACGUCUCGAGUCUUCGGGUGACUGCCGCAUAAACAAUGCACCAUGCAAUACCGGAAACGGGAUGAAUGAAUGACUCGAACACGAAGAGUCGAAACGUGAACUAAUAAUUUCUGUUUCCGGGGAACAGACGUGACAAAAUGUGCCGUGACAAAAGAAAGAACGUCUCGGAUUGGCUUAGACUGCAUAGCUUGAAGACCUAAUGCUAAGCUAUUAAUUAAUCAUUGCUCAAAUGAACGAAAUGACUCGAAAAAAAAAGAUUCAUUCAUUUUGCUAAACGAGAUUCAAAGAUCCCAGUCAGUAAAAUGAUCCGAACUUCCUAUCAGUACACCAGAGGGCGCUGCGGAUUAAGUUUUGCUGAGUUACCGCCACACUGAAGAAGAGAACUGUAUCACAGGUGUACACCACGCUGGGUGUUGUAGUGUCCAAUAUAUUUGAAUGUUUUCCCUGUUAUAAUCUCACUUCAACUCAGGAACGGAUGUGAGCAGAAAAUGGCUGCCUCUAACACUUUUCUGUCUGAAGAGCAGUUGCAGUGCUCGAUCUGUCUGGAAAUAUUCACUAAGCCUGUCUCUACCCAAUGUGGACACAACCAUUGCAUGGUAUGUGUCAACAAAUACUGGGACAAUUGUCAAAAGUACAAUUGUCCAUUCUGAAAGAAAGAAUUCAGUGAAAGGCCAGAACUUUGUGUUAAUAUGUUCAUAUCUGACCUGGCUGCUCAAUUCAAAGAGUCAGUGAAGGUGGGGUCCAGUGUUCACACAAAGAAGCUUCAUGCUGCACAGGGACAUGUGCCAUGUGAUGUUUGUACUGACCCUACACAGGAGGCCCUAAGGUCCUGUCUGGAUUGUGGUAUGUCAUUCUGUGAUACACAUUUGGAGCAUCAUAAAAUCGCAGCGAAACUUAAGCAACACAGAUUAAUUGAUGCUGUGAAGAACCUGGUGGACCGUAUAUGCCAGAGGCAUCAGAGACCUAUGGAGUUGUUCUGUAGGAAUGAUCAAAAGUGUGUGUGUCUGUUCUGCACUGAGGGAGAGCAUAAGAGCCACAACACUGUUCCUAUAGCGGAGGAGAGUGCAGAAAAGAAGACUAAGAUACAGAAAACUCAGGCAGAUGUUCAGAAGAUGAUCCAGGACAGACUGAAAAAGAUUGAAGAAAUAAAGCAUUCUGUAGCCCUGAAAAAAGUGAGUCUUAACUAAAAACAAACUACUGAACACACCAGAUUUC